UUUUAUGGAGAGUUUGAUCCUGGCUCAGAGUGAACGCUGGCGGCGUGCCUAAUACAUGCAAGUCGAACGAUGAAGCUUCUAGCUUGCUAGAAUGCUGAUUAGUGGCGCACGGGUGAGUAACGCAUAGGUCAUGUGCCUCUUAGUUUGGGAUAGCCAUUGGAAACGAUGAUUAAUACCAGAUACUCCCUACGGGGGAAAGAUUUAUCGCUAAGAGAUCAGCCUAUGUCCUAUCAGCUUGUUGGUAAGGUAAUGGCUUACCAAGGCUAUGACGGGUAUCCGGCCUGAGAGGGUGAACGGACACACUGGAACUGAGACACGGUCCAGACUCCUACGGGAGGCAGCAGUAGGGAAUAUUGCUCAAUGGGGGAAACCCUGAAGCAGCAACGCCGCGUGGAGGAUGAAGGUUUUAGGAUUGUAAACUCCUUUUGUUAGAGAAGAUAAUGACGGUAUCUAACGAAUAAGCACCGGCUAACUCCGUGCCAGCAGCCGCGGUAAUACGGAGGGUGCAAGCGUUACUCGGAAUCACUGGGCGUAAAGAGCGCGUAGGCGGGAUAGUCAGUCAGGUGUGAAAUCCUAUGGCUUAACCAUAGAACUGCAUUUGAAACUACUAUUCUAGAGUGUGGGAGAGGUAGGUGGAAUUCUUGGUGUAGGGGUAAAAUCCGUAGAGAUCAAGAGGAAUACUCAUUGCGAAGGCGACCUGCUGGAACAUUACUGACGCUGAUUGCGCGAAAGCGUGGGGAGCAAACAGGAUUAGAUACCCUGGUAGUCCACGCCCUAAACGAUGGAUGCUAGUUGUUGGAGGGCUUAGUCUCUCCAGUAAUGCAGCUAACGCAUUAAGCAUCCCGCCUGGGGAGUACGGUCGCAAGAUUAAAACUCAAAGGAAUAGACGGGGACCCGCACAAGCGGUGGAGCAUGUGGUUUAAUUCGAAGAUACACGAAGAACCUUACCUAGGCUUGACAUUGAGAGAAUCCGCUAGAAAUAGUGGAGUGUCUGGCUUGCCAGACCUUGAAAACAGGUGCUGCACGGCUGUCGUCAGCUCGUGUCGUGAGAUGUUGGGUUAAGUCCCGCAACGAGCGCAACCCCCUUUCUUAGUUGCUAACAGGUUAUGCUGAGAACUCUAAGGAUACUGCCUCCGUAAGGAGGAGGAAGGUGGGGACGACGUCAAGUCAUCAUGGCCCUUACGCCUAGGGCUACACACGUGCUACAAUGGGGUGUACAAAGAGAAGCAAUACUGCGAAGUGGAGCCAAUCUUCAAAACACCUCUCAGUUCGGAUUGUAGGCUGCAACUCGCCUGCAUGAAGCUGGAAUCGCUAGUAAUCGCAAAUCAGCCAUGUUGCGGUGAAUACGUUCCCGGGUCUUGUACUCACCGCCCGUCACACCAUGGGAGUUGUGUUUGCCUUAAGUCAGGAUGCUAAAUUGGCUACUGCCCACGGCACACACAGCGACUGGGGUGAAGUCGUAACAAGGUAACCGUAGGUGAACCUGCGGUUGGAUCACCUCCUUUCUAGA
Molecule: ribosomal RNA, 1510 nt
Filed under: Helicobacter pylori
Lineage: Bacteria; Pseudomonadati; Campylobacterota; Epsilonproteobacteria; Campylobacterales; Helicobacteraceae
Description: bacterial SSU rRNA
Rfam family: Bacterial small subunit ribosomal RNA
Source: RNAcentral